Molecule: ribosomal RNA, 406 nt
Filed under: uncultured bacterium
Lineage: Bacteria
Description: partial 16S ribosomal RNA
Rfam family: Bacterial small subunit ribosomal RNA
Source: RNAcentral
AUUGAACGCUGGCGGCAGGCUUAACACAUGCAAGUCGAACGAGUGGCGGACGGGUGAGUAAUGCUUGGGAAUCUAGCUUAUGGAGGGGGAUAACUACGGGAAACUGUAGCUAAUACCGCGUACCAUGGGAUGAACCCAUAUGGGAUUAGCUGGUAGGUGAGGUAACGGCUCACCUAGCCGACGAUCCCUAGCUGGGCUGAGAGGAUGAUCAGCCACACUGGGACUGAGAGACUGCCCAGACUCCUACGGGAGGCAGCAGUGGGGAAUAUGGCGAAAUGGGAGAAAGCAUGAUGCAGCCAUGCCGCGUGGAUGAAGAAGGCCUUCGGGUUGUAAAGUUCUUUCAGUCUGGAGGCGUUACCGACAGAAGAAGCACCGGCUAACUCCGUGCCAGCAGCCGCGGUAAUAC